Molecule: long non-coding RNA, 1115 nt
Organism: Rhagoletis pomonella (apple maggot)
Lineage: Eukaryota; Metazoa; Arthropoda; Insecta; Diptera; Tephritidae
Exons: 3
Source: RefSeq, a predicted model, not a curated record
UGCGCAAUGGCUUUUAAAAAGAGAACUGGAAGGAUUUAGCCAUAAACUGUUAAAGGAAAUUGAGUGCGAGGAUUCAAUCCUUCACAAAAAUAUCUUAAGAAUGACUCCAGCUCAGUUUGCAUUCUUAUUAGAAAAAGUACGCCCCUAUAUUAGCAAGCAGGAUACAAAAUUCAGGAACUGCAUAGGAGCUGCGGAACGGCUGCAGCUGACAUUGCGAUAUCCAUCCAGUGGUAAGAUAUAAUAUUUUCUUGGUAAUUUUUAGUACCGACAUACAUAUGUAUGUACAUAUUUCCAAAAUUAGGUGAAACCCAAAGGUCACUUCAAUUGCCGUUCCGAAUUCAGCAGUCAACCAUUUCCAGAAUUUUAAAGGAAUCUAUUCCCGCAAUAUAUUUGGCGUUAAGGGAGGAGUAUUUGAAAUUCCCUGCAAGUGAGCAAGAUUAGCGUGAUAUUGCAAAAGACUUUUAUCAGAUGUGGGGAUUCCCGAACUGCAUCGGCGCUUUAGAUGGAAAGCAUUGCAGAAUACUGCCAGUGAGGAAAGCAGGAUCUACGUAUUUCAAUUACAAAGUAUACCAUUCAUUUGUAUUGAUGGCAAUCGCUGAUGCCCACUAUCGUUUUAUUUAUGCUGAUGUCGGUGUUAAUGGGAGAGUGGGUGAUGCUGGAAUUUGGUUGAACUCGGACCUGAAAUACGCUAUUGAAAAAAAUGAAGUACAUAUACCAGCCCCAUGCACGCUCCCUUUCAUGUCAACUCCCUCGCCUUUUGUGCUUUUAGCCGAUGAUGCCUUUGCUCUAAAAGACUACUUAAUGAAACCUUACUCUCAUCUAAGACUAUCACCAAGCGAACUUAAAUACAACAACAUACUUUCGAGGAACAGGCGCGUUGUUGAAAAUGCUUUUGGCAUUCUUGCGAACCGUUUUCGAGUUUUAUUUUCACCCAUCCAUCGCGUUCCAGCUGCAGCCAUUCAGAUUGUAUUAUCUUGCGUAUGUGUGCACAACUUUUUAAGAACAGAAAAUGUGAAAAAGAAAACUACGUUUGACGCCAUUUCCGAAAGUGAAAUAGAUGCAAUAAUAGAUAACAACUAUACAACAACCGCUUCUGAAAGAAAUGCGUCAAAAAG